AAUUCACUUUGAGUCAUCAGGCAAUGGAAUUAGGGCACUUCGCCACCAGGAUGAAGCUAGCAUGCCAUGUUUUUUUAAGCAUACAAAACUGUUCAUUUGAGUCUAUUCAAACAGACCCCAUUUCAAAGGAAACAAGCACUCAUUAAGAGCAGAUGUGGCCAAUUAGUGGGUAUGGCUAACACAUCUGAACACACUUAAGAUGAGGGCAUUGGAUUCCAGCUGAAUCACGCGCUGCGGCGCUCCCUGGCAGCUCCAAGUGCUGCUCUCGCCUGGAGUUGGAUGGUGGCCAUUUUGUUAUCAAAAGCUAUGGCUGGGCAGAUGACUCCUUAAUUAUCGGAGAAUCACAGUGGACAGAGAUUCAAAAGCAUGGCAAGUAGUGACCUGCCAUUCAUCUGCCCCAGUGCAACACAAACCAGAUGGACACGGCCCGUCACCAAGUAACAUCUCCAGAAAGCCGCGUCCCCCUGCCAGUCCUCCCACCCCAGAGUCAGAGGAAGAUGAAAGGUACGGCCAUGGGGAGACCGGUUGUGCCAAACAGCGCCAGAUCUGAUCUGAUGAACAACUGCACAGGGAAGGAAUCAAAGUGGCUGGAGGCGCUUGGUGUUUUAGUUGAACAGAAGCUGUUGGAAGAUCGACUGCAGUAGGCUGUAAGAGGAUAGAGGCUGGGGAAUGCAGUGGAUAUUACUACUGUAGCUAAAUAGACAAAAAAUAAGAAGUUAUCAAUUCCAUCACUAUAGUGUGUUGAUUAGCUGGGUCUUAUAUAGUCAUAUAAUAGGUCAUAUACUGUAUUUAAUUCUUAUUAAUACUAGGCCUAUUUUGUUAAUCGUUUUUAAUGACCUUUUGUUGAAUGUAUAUCACUAAUAUGUACAUAAAGUGUGUUCAUGAACCA
This is a long non-coding RNA of Oncorhynchus gorbuscha (pink salmon), 889 nucleotides long. RefSeq lists it as uncharacterized. The transcript is spliced from 3 exons. Lineage: Eukaryota; Metazoa; Chordata; Actinopteri; Salmoniformes; Salmonidae. The record is from RefSeq and is a predicted model, not a curated record.